This 237-nucleotide long non-coding RNA is filed under the name Setaria italica (foxtail millet). Its description in RNAcentral is "long non-coding RNA (SITA_LNC006074)". Lineage: Eukaryota; Viridiplantae; Streptophyta; Magnoliopsida; Poales; Poaceae. The record is from RNAcentral.
GAUGAUUAGCUUAACUCUGUGGAUGUUUUGAUAUAGAUGUGUGAGCGGAGUUGUUGACAGUCCCUGCGUAGUGACGAUAUGCAGGAGGGAAAGAGCCAAGCGAGCACAUAAUCUCUGUGAUAGUUAGUGAAGGCAACACCUAUUUGUGUAGUAUAUGCAUAUUCAUGUGAACCUAGAUCCUAGAGAGGAAACACAUAUCUAUCUCUGUUAUCUAUCUUGUAUCAUCCUUUGCUUCUU